RNAcentral lists this ribosomal RNA (301 nucleotides) under uncultured bacterium. Its description in RNAcentral is "partial 16S ribosomal RNA". It matches the Rfam family "Bacterial small subunit ribosomal RNA", at positions 509 to 807 of the family's 1533-position model. The record is from RNAcentral.
CAGUAGCCGCGGUAAUACGUAGGGUGCGAGCGUUAAUCGGAACUACUGGGCGUAAAGCGUGCGCAGGCGGUUCGUUAAGACAGAUGUGAAAUCCCCGGGCUUAACCUGGGAACUGCAUUUGUGACUGGCGAGCUAGAGUAUGGCAGAGGGUGGUAGAAUUCCACGUGUAGCAGUGAAAUGCGUAGAGAUGUGGAGGAAUACCGAUGGCGAAGGCAGCCCCCUGGGCCAAUACUGACGCUCAUGCACGAAAGCGUGGGGAGCAAACAGGAUUAGAGACCCCCGUAGUCCCUGUCUCUUAUAC